AGAGUUUGAUCCUGGCUCAGAUUGAACGCUGGCGGAAUGCUUUACACAUGCAAGUCGAACGGCAGCACGGGGCAACCUGGUGGCGAGUGGCGAACGGGUGAGUAAUAUAUCGGAACGUGCCCAAUCGUGGGGGAUAACGUAGCGAAAGUUACGCUAAUACCGCAUACGAUCUACGGAUGAAAGCGGGGGAUCGCAAGACCUCGCGCGAAUGGAGCGGCCGAUAUCAGAUUAGGUAGUUGGUGGGGUAAAGGCUCACCAAGCCAACGAUCUGUAGCUGGUCUGAGAGGACGACCAGCCACACUGGAACUGAGACACGGUCCAGACUCCUACGGGAGGCAGCAGUGGGGAAUUUUGGACAAUGGGCGAAAGCCUGAUCCAGCCAUUCCGCGUGCAGGAUGAAGGCCUUCGGGUUGUAAACUGCUUCUGUACGGAACGAAACGGCCUGUCCUAAUACGAUGGGCUAUGACGGUACCGUAAGAAUAAGCACCGGCUAACUACGUGCCAGCAGCCGCGGUAAUACGUAGGGUGCAAGCGUUAAUCGGAAUUACUGGGCGUAAAGCGUGCGCAAGCGGUUAUAUAAGACAGAUGUGAAAUCCCCGGGCUCAACCUGGGAACUGCAUUUGUGACUGUAUAGCUAGAGUACGGCAGAGGGGGAUGGAAUUCCGCGUGUAGCAGUGAAAUGCGUAGAUAUGCGGAGGAACACCGAUGGCGAAGGCAAUCCCCUGGGCCUGUACUGACGCUCAUGCACGAAAGCGUGGGGAGCAAAUAGGAUUAGAUACCCUGGUAGUCCACGCCCUAAACGAUGUCAACUGGUUGUUGGGUCUUCACUGACUCAGUAACGAAGCUAAACGCGUUAAGUGAUCCGCCUGGGGAUUACGGUCGCAAGACUAAAACUCAAAGGAAUUGACGGGGGCCCGCACAAGCGGUGGAGUAUGUGGUUUAAUUCGACGCAACGCGAAGAACCUUACCUGGGCUUGACAUCCCCGGACCGGCAUAGAAAUAUGUUUUUCCCUUUCGGGGGACCGGGAGACAGGUGCUGCAUGGCUGUCGUCAGCUCGUGUCGUGAGAUGUUGGGUUAAGUCCCGCAACGAGCGCAACCCCUGCCUUUAGUUGCCAUCAUUAAGUUGGGCACUCUAGAGGGACUGCCGGUGUUAAACCGGAGGAAGGUGGGGAUGACGUCAAGUCCUCAUGGCCUUUAUGCCCAGGGCUACACACGUACUACAAUGGGCGGUACAAAGGGCAGCGAUCCCGCGAGGGUGAGCCAACCCCAAAAAGCCGUUCAUAGUUCGGAUUGGAGUCUGCAACUCGACUCCAUGAAGGUGGAAUCGCUAGUAAUCGCGGAUCAGCAUGCCGCGGUGAAUACGAUCCCGGGCCUUGUACACACCGCCCGUCACACCACGAAAGUCGGCUGUACCAGAAGUGCGUGGGCUAACUCGCAAGAGGGGCAGCGUACCAAGGUGUGGUCGGUAAUUGGGGUGAAGUCGUAACAAGGUA
Molecule: ribosomal RNA, 1494 nt
Filed under: metagenome
Description: bacterial SSU rRNA
Rfam family: Bacterial small subunit ribosomal RNA
Source: RNAcentral